UAUUGGGCGUAAAGCGAGCGCAGGCGGUUUUUUAAGUCUGAUGUGAAAGCCUUCGGCUCAACCGAAGAAGUGCAUCGGAAACUGGGAAACUUGAGUGCAGAAGAGGACAGUGGAACUCCAUGUGUAGCGGUGAAAUGCGUAGAUAUAUGGAAGAACACCAGUGGCGAAGGCGGCUGUCUGGUCUGUAACUGACGCUGAGGCUCGAAAGUAUGGGUAGCAAACAGGAUUAGAUACCCUGGUAGUCCAUACCGUAAACGAUGAAUGCUAAGUGUUGGAGGGUUUCCGCCCUUCAGUGCUGCAGCUAACGCAUUAAGCAUUCCGCCUGGGGAGUACGGCCGCAAGGCUGAAACUCAAAGGAAUUGACGGGGGCCCGCACAAGCGGUGGAGCAUGUGGUUUAAUUCGAAGCUACGCGAAGAACCUUACCAGGUCUUGACAUACUAUGCAAAUCUAAGAGAUUAGACGUUCCCUUCGGGGACAUGGAUACAGGUGGUGCAUGGUUGUCGUCAGCUCGUGUCGUGAGAUGUUGGGUUAAGUCCCGCAACGAGCGCAACCCUUAUUAUCAGUUGCCAGCAUUAAGUUGGGCACUCUGGUGAGACUGCCGGUGACAAACCGGAGGAAGGUGGGGAUGACGUCAAAUCAUCAUGCCCCUUAUGACCUGGGCUACACACGUGCUACAAUGGAUGGUACAACGAGUUGCGAACUCGCGAGAGUAAGCUAAUCUCUUAAAGCCAUUCUCAGUUCGGAUUGUAGGCUGCAACUCGCCUACAUGAAGUCGGAAUCGCUAGUAAUCGCGGAUCAGCAUGCCGCGGUGAAUACGUUCCCGGGCCUUGUACACACCGCCCGUCACACCAUGAGAGUUUGUAACACCUCUAACAG
This 877-nucleotide ribosomal RNA is filed under the name Lactiplantibacillus plantarum. RNAcentral describes it as "bacterial SSU rRNA". It matches the Rfam family "Bacterial small subunit ribosomal RNA", at positions 552 to 1429 of the family's 1533-position model. Lineage: Bacteria; Bacillati; Bacillota; Bacilli; Lactobacillales; Lactobacillaceae. The record is from RNAcentral.